Molecule: ribosomal RNA, 460 nt
Filed under: uncultured bacterium
Lineage: Bacteria
Description: partial 16S ribosomal RNA
Rfam family: Bacterial small subunit ribosomal RNA
Source: RNAcentral
CCUACGGGAGGCAGCAGUGAGGAAUAUUGGUCAAUGGACGAGAGUCUGAACCAGCCAAGUAGCGUGAAGGAUGACUGCCCUAUGGGUUGUACACUUCUUUUAUAAAGGAAUAAAACGAGGCACGUGUGCCUUUUUGCAUGUACUUUAUGAAUAAGGAUCGGCUAACUCCGUGCCAGCAGCCGCGGUAAUACGGAGGAUCCGAGCGUUAUCCGGAUUUAUUGGGUUUAAAGGGAGCGUAGAUGGGUUGUUAAGUCAGUUGUGAAAGUUUGCGGCUCAACCGUAAAAUUGCAAUUGAUACUGGCAGUCUUGAGUACAGUUGAGGUAGGCGGAAUUCGUGGUGUAGCGGUGAAAUGCUUAGAUAUCACGAAGAACCCCGAUUGCGAAGGCAGCAUACUAAACUGUGACUGACAUUGAUGCUCGAAAGUGUGGGUAUCAAACAGGAUUAGAUACCCUUGUAGUC